Molecule: ribosomal RNA, 382 nt
Filed under: Ototyphlonemertes duplex
Lineage: Eukaryota; Metazoa; Nemertea; Enopla; Monostilifera; Ototyphlonemertidae
Description: partial 16S ribosomal RNA
Rfam family: Bacterial large subunit ribosomal RNA
Source: RNAcentral
UCCCUUUUGRGUUUUGUUUAAAGGUUAGUUCUGCUCGGUGCUUUUUAACAGCCGCGGUAAUUUGACCGUGCAAAGGUAGCAUAAUCAUUUGCCUUGUAAUUGAGGGCUAGAAUGAAUGAAUAAACAAGGGUUUUGCUUUAUUUUUAGAAGUUGAGGAAUUUUCUCUCUAUGUGAAGAAGCUUAGAUGGGGAAAGGGGACAAGAAGACCCUUUCGAGCUUUAUUAAAUGUAAGACUUUUKGUUUGUGUUUAGUUUGGUUGGGGCGACCUAGGAAUGAKAUCUUCCUAUUUUUUAUUUUGAUCCACGGKUUGUGAWUAAAAGAACAAGUUACCGAAGGGAUASCAGCGUAAUYUUCUUUGGGAGUUYUUAUUAAAAGGGAGGAU